AGGAGGUUAGUCUAACUAAGACAGUUGAUUUCGACUCAACAGAUUAUAGAUCCCCACUCUAUAACUUCCUA
This 71-nucleotide transfer RNA is filed under the name Calcarius ornatus. RNAcentral's name for it is "tRNA-Arg". RNAcentral also lists the same sequence under 2 other names. The record is from RNAcentral. Lineage: Eukaryota; Metazoa; Chordata; Aves; Passeriformes; Fringillidae.